Long non-coding RNA from Anguilla rostrata (American eel), 1735 nucleotides. RefSeq lists it as uncharacterized. The record is from RefSeq and is a predicted model, not a curated record. The transcript is spliced from 3 exons. NCBI's taxonomy places the organism in Eukaryota, Metazoa, Chordata, Actinopteri, Anguilliformes, Anguillidae.
UCCUUUGAUUUUGAUAUUUUAUAUGUGCGGAUAUGUGGUCGCGCUUCUGUAUUGGGUGUGUCUGAUACUGCGGUCGCUGUGUAGUGGUCGUCAUUUUUUUAAAAAUGGUAUUGUUCAGAUUAGUUUGUUUACCCUCGUUAAAAUGUGAUCACAUAGGAAAUUCCCGGUGCUCAGCACGUAAAAAAUGCUCUACGAUGGUUUUGGGUGUGUCUGGUACUGCGAUCGCUAUCUAAUGGUCGUCGUUUUUAUUUUUAUUGUAUUAAUAGAUUAUUGGAUAUUAGUCUGCUUGCCCUCGCUCAAAUUACAGCACAUCAGAAAUCCGCUGUGUUCAGCUGAAGUUUUUCUACGCUGGCAGCCAGGCCUAGUUGUGUGUAGGCCUCCAUUUUGUAUGUAGCCACGAGUUUAGCUGGUGUCUACAAUGUUUUGAACUCUGAAAAUCACUUCGCUGGCUGGGAUCAUGCUGUUAUACAGCAGUGUCGAAAUAUCAGCGACUUUUUGUGGGAAAUAGUAGAGCCAUAAUGGCGCCACUUUGGACAAGGAAAAAAGUUGGGCAAAAUCUUCGAAGAAGCUGGCUAUUUUACCUGGUUUCUGGAUUGUGAUGGUAUGACACCCAAUUUCCUGAAGAACGGGCUUGUAAAAUUAAUCGGAGAAGACUGGCGGAUACGCAUCAAGCUCCCAACUCCUGAAAUGGCUGUCAGAGUAGACUACAACUCAACAUGGCUGUCCAUGUAGAACUACAUCCCCCACAAGCCUUGUGGCCGCAGGCCCCAGUGGACACCCGUCAUUGCUUGAGCUCACUCCAAACUGAGGCGGUUUCUGUGGCCAACAUUUGGAUUUUUUCUAACCUGAACCUGAGUCACAAGAUUACUGUAAGUUAUGGUGUGUGGGAAUCUUUUACGUUUAUUCUAAAACUGAAUCACUGGAAGUGUUGAAAAACAAAUACUUCCCCUUUAAAAUCUGCUUUGUAAUUGGUUUUAAAAUUGGCUGGAUAUUUCUUAUGAAUGUACUGCGCUCUGAUCUUAUUGGCUGAACCUCGGGGUGGAAACCUCACUGUUAAAGUCAGUAUUACUCUCAGCCCAUUUCUCUGCUGAACUCCUUCAACAAUUAAACAAAUGAUCUGGUGUGGUCUGUACUGUCCAGCAGGGGGAGACAGAACCAUCCUGUUUAGUUUUUCCACAGGAGUAGCUGCACAUUUGAAACUUACUGGAUAUAUUAUGUGCUGUUUAACCUGCUGUGUUAUGUUCAUACAGGUUAAGCCAGCUGUAUAAGGGUGACAUACAGAUGGGUCGGCCUGCUUUAUGAAGCUUUAUGAACAGUGUCUAAUCCUGUGGGUCUGAGCCAUGUGGGCCCAUCCCUGCUGGAGAGCUUGGUGUGCAGCUCUAGCAUGAAACCACCCCAUAUUUACACAGCAGAGAUUACACCCCAAGGAGUUUUAUUCGUUUGACAUGCAUUACAGGUUAUAACAGGUUAUAGCAGUGUGCACACGUGCACUCGUUCAGUUAUAUUCCUGUGGUGUUAUGGAGCAGUGUGUGAAUGCAGAAGAUAAAUCUGUCACUAUUCUGCUUUGGUAGGAAAGAGAAGAACCCAAAUAAUUUAACGCAAGUAACUGAAUAAACUUUUUCAUUACAUCCAGUGAUUAUCUUCAGCAUAAUGUAUGAAUUUACGGCCGUUUUGGAAUAUUUGUUUACAGAGUCCUACAUGUUCACCUGAUUGAUAAAUAAGCAUUGUGUGUUAA